GAGGAAGUUGCCUCUCUCUGGCGCCUGCAUUCAAUGAACGUUUGUAAUGUUAGCAGGUGUGGACCUUGAGGAGAUUUUCUCUCCCUGGCUGCCCAAUUAUCAUUUUUAGAGAGGCAAUGCGAUAAUUGCUGAACGAUGUCACCUGACAUUCCUAGCGGGUGGGAGAGAGCCCUCUCCUGCCCCGCUCAUUGCCUAACUACCUGUAACAGGUGUGUGGGUGAGUGCUCCCUGUGAUGGAACGGUGUCCUGUUCAGGACUGGGUGCCACCUGGCACCUUGAGCUGCCAGGACCGGCUCGGGCUGCUCGCGAUCCCAAACUAGAACAAAUGGGUGGCCACCCUCCUGUUGCCGCUUCACAUGGUCUUUCCUCUGUGCGUGCG
RNAcentral lists this long non-coding RNA (379 nucleotides) under Homo sapiens (human). Its description in RNAcentral is "non-protein coding lnc-USP6NL-10:2". Lineage: Eukaryota; Metazoa; Chordata; Mammalia; Primates; Hominidae. The record is from RNAcentral.